CGCGGGACUUCCUCACUGCGCAUUUACCUGCUGUACCAGCAGGGCUGUCUGCAGCCGUUACUUACGCUGUGCUGCUGGGUUGCAGAGCAGUUGCCACGCUCCCUGGACAGCUCCCGUCAGCUUGCGGGGAUCGGGCUGCGUAGGGGGCCCCUGGGCGCUAAGGUCGCGCCCCCUCUGCACGAGGGCCCCUGUGAUCUGGCUGCGGUCCGGGCCCAGCGCUGUCAGCUCCAGCAACCGUGCGCGCCCUUCGAGCAAGGCCGCUUCCUCCCAGCUGUGCAGCAGCUCUGCCCGCCCCAGAGUCUGCUCCAGCAGGGCCCUCCUGGGGACAGCAAGGCCUCCAGCAGCUUGGGGAGUCGGGCUGGGGAGGGGUCAGACCCUGCCCUUAGACGGGAUUUUUCUUUUCUCUGGGUGUGUGUGUGUUGUGUGGUAAUGGGGAUUGAACCCAAGGCCUUCACAUUGAGCUAUGUGUCCAGCCUUAAAUAAUUUUUUGCGGGGGGACAGGGUCUCACUAAGGUGCUCAGGUUGGGCUUGAAUCUUUGAUCCUCCUCCCUCAGCCUUCCAAAGUGCUGGGGUUAUAAGGAUUCACCACUAUGCCCAGGUUAGAUUUUUAUUAUUUGUCUGUUUUCCUUAGUAUUGUGUACGUCCUUUUCACUGCUAAGUUUCUAGCAGCUAGAAUGGUGCAUGGGACAAAGUAGACAAGAUAUAUGUCCAUUUUGUGAAUAAGCUAAUCAGAGGCUAUCUAGAAAGGACAAUGUUUUACCAAAAGGAUGAAUCGCUGAUGAUGGGAUUUCAAACACACACAGAAGGCUGAUCUUUUUAGAGGGAGCCCUGAAUCCAUAAACCACCUUCUCCUCUGUGGCUGGGAUGGGCACAUAUAAAGGUGGGGUUGUGAAAGGAAG
RNAcentral lists this long non-coding RNA (899 nucleotides) under Fukomys damarensis (Damara mole-rat). Its description in RNAcentral is "lncRNA (ENSFDAG00000028038.1)". The record is from RNAcentral. Lineage: Eukaryota; Metazoa; Chordata; Mammalia; Rodentia; Bathyergidae.